RNAcentral lists this ribosomal RNA (496 nucleotides) under uncultured bacterium. Its description in RNAcentral is "partial 16S ribosomal RNA". It matches the Rfam family "Bacterial small subunit ribosomal RNA", at positions 28 to 507 of the family's 1533-position model. The record is from RNAcentral.
GAUGAACGCUGGCGGCGUGCCUAAUACAUGCAAGUCGAGCGAACAGAUGAGGAGCUUGCUCCUCUGACGUUAGCGGCGGACGGGUGAGUAACACGUGGAUAACCUACUAUAAGACUGGGAUAACUUCGGGAAACCGGAGCUAAUACCGGAUAAUAUAUUGAACCGCAUGGUUCAAUAGUGAAAGACGGUUUUGCUGUCACUUAUAGAUGGAUCCGCGCCGCAUUAGCUAGUUGGUAAGGUAACGGCUUACCAAGGCAACGAUGCGUAGCCGACCUGAGAGGGUGAUCGGCCACACUGGAACUGAGACACGGUCCAGACUCCUACGGGAGGCAGCAGUAGGGAAUCUUCCGCAAUGGGCGAAAGCCUGACGGAGCAACGCCGCGUGAGUGAUGAAGGUCUUCGGAUCGUAAAACUCUGUUAUUAGGGAAGAACAAAUGUGUAAGUAACUAUGCACGUCUUGACGGUACCUAAUCAGAAAGCCACGGCUAACUACGUG